UACGGAGGAUCCAAGCGUUAUCCGGAUUCAUUGGGUUUAAAGGGUGCGUAGGCGGAAUGAUAAGUCAGUGGUGAAAGACGGUAGCUCAACUAUCGCAGUGCCUUUGAUACUGACGGGCUUGAAUGAACUAGAGGUAGGCGGAAUGAGACAAGUAGCGGUGAAAUGCAUAGAUAUGUCUCAGAACACCGAUUGCGAAGGCAGCUUACUAUGGUUUUAUUGACGCUGAGGCACGAAAGCGUGGGGAUCAAACAGG
Molecule: ribosomal RNA, 253 nt
Filed under: uncultured bacterium
Lineage: Bacteria
Description: partial 16S ribosomal RNA
Rfam family: Bacterial small subunit ribosomal RNA
Source: RNAcentral